GACGAACGCUGGCGGCGUGCUUAACACAUGCAAGUCGAACGGAAAGGCCCUGCUUUUGUGGGGUGCUCGAGUGGCGAACGGGAGAGUAACACGUGAGUAACCUGCCCUUGACUUUGGGAUAACUUCAGGAAACUGGGGCUAAUACCGGAUAGGAGCUCCUGCUGCAUGGUGGGGGUUGGAAAGGUUCGGCGGUUGGGGAUGGACUCGCGGCUUAUCAGCUUGUUGGUGGGGUAGUGGCUUACCAAGGCUUUGACGGGUAGCCGGCCUGAGAGGGUGACCGGCCACAUUGGGACUGAGAUACGGCCCAGACUCCUACGGGGGGCAGCAGUGGGGAAUAUUGCACGAUGGGCGGAAGCCUGAUGCAGCAACGCCGCGUGCGGGGUGACGGCCUUCGGGUUGUAAACCGCUUUCGCCUGUGACGAAGCGUGAGUGACGGUAAUUGGUAAAGAAGCACCGGCUAACUACGUG
This 468-nucleotide ribosomal RNA is filed under the name uncultured bacterium. RNAcentral's name for it is "partial 16S ribosomal RNA". It matches the Rfam family "Bacterial small subunit ribosomal RNA", at positions 28 to 507 of the family's 1533-position model. The record is from RNAcentral.